Molecule: ribosomal RNA, 331 nt
Filed under: uncultured eukaryote
Lineage: Eukaryota
Description: partial 18S ribosomal RNA
Rfam family: Eukaryotic small subunit ribosomal RNA
Source: RNAcentral
CAAUAGCGUAUAUUAAAGUUGUUGCAGUUAAAAAGCUCGUAGUUGAAUUUCGGGUCCCCCGCUCGGCGCUUCAUUGUGCCGUCGUGGUGUCCCUCCUCGCCGUAAGGCGUCCUUUACUGUGAAAAAAUUAGAGUGUUCAAAGCAGGCAAUCGCUUGAAUACAUUAGCAUGGAAUAAUAAGAUAGGAUCUUGUCUAUUUUGUUGGUUGCGGACAACGAUAAUGAUUAAUAGGGAUAGUUGGGGGUGUCCGUAUUGAGCUGUCAGAGGUGAAAUUCUUGGAUUUGCUCAAGACGAACUACUGCGAAANCANNNACCAAGGAUGUUUUCAUNAA